Molecule: long non-coding RNA, 404 nt
Organism: Mytilus californianus (California mussel)
Lineage: Eukaryota; Metazoa; Mollusca; Bivalvia; Mytilida; Mytilidae
Exons: 3
Source: RefSeq, a predicted model, not a curated record
CAUACAUGGAGAAUCAGGUUACAAUGAUUACAUUCAUGGGAAAGUCAGGUUACAAUGGUUACAUAAAUGGGGAAGUCAGGUUACAAUGGUUACAUGCAUGGGGAUUGCUGGUUACAAUGGUUACAUGCAUGGGGAUUGCUGGUUACAAUGGUUACAUGCAUGGGGAAGUCAGGUUACAAUGGUUACAUACAUGGAGAAUGAGGGUUACAAUGGUUACAUACAUGGGGAUUGCUGGUUACAAUGGUUACAUGCAUGGGAAAUCAGAUUACAAUGGUUACAUGCAUGGGGAAGUCAGGUUACAAUGGUUACAUACAUGGAGAAUGAGGUUUACAAUGGCUACAUACAUGGAGAAUUAGGUUACAAUGGUUACAUGCAUUGGAAAUCAGGUUACAAUGGUUACAUAC